RNAcentral lists this ribosomal RNA (1178 nucleotides) under Peniophorella tsugae. RNAcentral's name for it is "eukaryotic LSU rRNA". It matches the Rfam family "Eukaryotic large subunit ribosomal RNA", at positions 29 to 1195 of the family's 3401-position model. Lineage: Eukaryota; Fungi; Basidiomycota; Agaricomycetes; Hymenochaetales. The record is from RNAcentral.
UGAACUUAAGCAUAUCAAUAAGCGGAGGAAAAGAAACUAACAAGGAUUCCCCUAGUAACUGCGAGUGAAGCGGGAAAAGCUCAAAUUUAAAAUCUGACGGUUACGCCGUCCGAGUUGUAAUCUGGAGAAGCGUUUUCUGUGUUGGCCCGCGCAUAAAUCUCUUGGAACAGAGUGUCAUAGAGGGUGAGAAUCCCGUCUUUGGCGCGGACUACCAAUGCUAUACGAUACGCUCUCGAAGAGUCGAGUUGUUUGGGAAUGCAGCUCAAAAUGGGUGGUAAAUUCCAUCUAAAGCUAAAUAUUGGCGAGAGACCGAUAGCGAACAAGUACCGUGAGGGAAAGAUGAAAAGCACUUUGGAAAGAGAGUUAAACAGUACGUGAAAUUGUUGAAAGGGAAACGCUUGAAGUCAGUCGCGUCGCCUGGGACUCAGCCUUGCUUCUGCAUGGUGUACUUCCCUUGUGACGGGUCAACAUCGAUUUCGUCCGGUGGACAAAGGCGGAGGGAAGGUGGCACCUUUGUGUGUGUUAUAGCCCUUCGUCGUAUACACUGGCUGGGAUCGAGGACCGCAGCACGCCUUUUUGGCCGGGGUUCGCCCACGUAACGUGCUUAGGAUGUUGGCAUAAUGGCUUUAAGCGACCNGUCUUGAAACACGGACCAAGGAGUCUAACAUGCCUGCGAGUGUUAGGGUGGUAAACCCUUGCGCGUAAUGAAAGUGAAAGUUGGGACCCCUGUCGUGGGGGGCACCGACGCCCGGCCCAGAGCUCUUGUGACGGUGCUGCGGUAGAGCAUGUAUGUUGGGACCCGAAAGAUGGUGAACUAUGCCUGAAUAGGGCGAAGCCAGAGGAAACUCUGGUGGAGGCUCGUAGCGAUUCUGACGUGCAAAUCGAUCGUCAAAUUUGGGUAUAGGGGCGAAAGACUAAUCGAACCAUCUAGUAGCUGGUUCCUGCCGAAGUUUCCCUCAGGAUAGCAGAAACUCAUAUCAGAUUUAUGUGGUAAAGCGAAUGAUUAGAGGCCUUGGGGGCUGAAACAGCCUUAACCUAUUCUCAAACUUUAAAUAUGUAAGAACAAGCCGUCUCUUAGUUGGACCGCUUGGCGAUUGAGAGUUUCUAGUGGGCCAUUUUUUGGUAAGCAGAACUGGCGAUGCGGGAUGAACCGGACGUGAGGUUAAGGUGCCGGAAUA